AAUCAGGCCGCCUGUAUUUCUGCC
Molecule: non-coding RNA, 24 nt
Filed under: Arabidopsis thaliana (thale cress)
Lineage: Eukaryota; Viridiplantae; Streptophyta; Magnoliopsida; Brassicales; Brassicaceae
Source: RNAcentral